This 253-nucleotide ribosomal RNA is filed under the name uncultured bacterium. RNAcentral's name for it is "partial 16S ribosomal RNA". It matches the Rfam family "Bacterial small subunit ribosomal RNA", at positions 524 to 776 of the family's 1533-position model. The record is from RNAcentral.
UACGUAGGGUGCAAGCGUUGUCCGGAAUUAUUGGGCGUAAAGAGCUUGUAGGCGGUUUGUCGCGUCUGCUGUGAAAUUUCGGGGCUCAACCCCGAACUUGCAGUGGGUACGGGCAGACUAGAGUGUGGUAGGGGAGACUGGAAUUCCUGGUGUAGCGGUGAAAUGCGCAGAUAUCUGGAGGAACACCGGUGGCGAAGGCGGCAUCCUGGACCGGUAUUGACGCUGAGGAGCGAAAGCCAGGGGAGCAAACGGG